UGGGGAAUAUUGCACAAUGGACGAAAGUCUGAUGCAGCAACGCCGCGUGUGCGAUGAAGGCCUUCGGGCUGUAAAGCACUUUUAUGUGGGAAGAGCAAGGACUGUACCACAUGAAUAAGGAUCGGCUAACUACGUGCCAGCAGCCGCGGUAACACGUAGGAUCCAAGCGUUAUCCGGAUUUACUGGGCGUAAAGCGCGUGUAGGUGGUUUGGUAAGUAGAGCGUGAAAGCUCCUGGCUCAACUGGGAGAGGUCGUUCUAAACUGCCGGACUAGAGGAUGGUAGAGGGAGGUGGAAUUCCGGGUGUAGCGGUGGAAUGCGCAGAUAUCCGGAGGAACACCAGUGGCGAAAGCGGCCUCCUGGACCACUCCUGACACUCAGACGCGAAAGCUAGGGUAGCAAACG
RNAcentral lists this ribosomal RNA (403 nucleotides) under uncultured prokaryote. RNAcentral describes it as "bacterial SSU rRNA". It matches the Rfam family "Bacterial small subunit ribosomal RNA", at positions 355 to 774 of the family's 1533-position model. The record is from RNAcentral.